UGGGGAAUAUUGGACAAUGGGCGAAAGCCUGAUCCAGCCAUGCCGCGUGUGUGAAGAAGGUCUUCGGAUUGUAAAGCACUCUAAGUUGGGAGGAAGGGCAGUAAGCGAAUACCUUGCUGUUUUGACGUUACCGACAGAAUAAGCACCGGCUAACUCUGUGCCAGCAGCCGCGGUAAUACAGAGGGUGCAAGCGUUAAUCGGAAUUACUGGGCGUAAAGCGCGCGUAGGUGGUUCGUUAAGUUGAAUGUGAAAGCCCCGGGCUCAACCUGGGAACUGCAUCCAAAACUGGCGAGCUAAAGUAGGGCAGAGGGUGGUGGAAUUUCCUGUGUAGCGGUGAAAUGCGUAGAUAUAGGAAGGAACACCAGUGGCGAAGGCGACCACCUGGGCUCAUACUGACACUGAGGUGCGAAAGCGUGGGGAGCAAACAGG
Molecule: ribosomal RNA, 429 nt
Filed under: Pseudomonadota bacterium
Lineage: Bacteria; Pseudomonadati; Pseudomonadota
Description: Proteobacteria bacterium partial 16S ribosomal RNA
Rfam family: Bacterial small subunit ribosomal RNA
Source: RNAcentral